AUACGAAAGGUGCAAGCGUUGUUCGGAUUUACUGGGCGUAAAGAGAGUGUAGGUGGUUUAUUAAGUCGGAUGUGAAAUCCCGGGGCUCAACCUCGGAACUGCAUUCGAUACUGAUAGGCUAGAGUUUGGGAGGGGUAAGCGGAAUUCCGUGUGUAGCAGUGAAAUGCGUAGAUAUACGGAGGAACACCUGAGGCGAAGGCGGCUUACUGGACCAAUACUGACACUGAGACUCGAAAGCGUGGGUAGCAAGCAGGAUUAGAAACCCUAGUAGUCC
RNAcentral lists this ribosomal RNA (274 nucleotides) under uncultured bacterium. RNAcentral's name for it is "partial 16S ribosomal RNA". It matches the Rfam family "Bacterial small subunit ribosomal RNA", at positions 523 to 796 of the family's 1533-position model. The record is from RNAcentral.